UGUAAUUUAUUUGUUAUCUACACUCAUGUGCCAUAUUAAAGUUCACAAAAUGGCCGCUGUGAUUCUUGCCAGCAGUAGCUGGUUCUUUUAAAUGAAAGUUUAUUUCAU
Haliotis rubra (blacklip abalone) is the source of this 108-nucleotide long non-coding RNA. RefSeq lists it as uncharacterized. NCBI's taxonomy places the organism in Eukaryota, Metazoa, Mollusca, Gastropoda, Lepetellida, Haliotidae. The transcript has 3 exons. The record is from RefSeq and is a predicted model, not a curated record.